AGGACUGCCAAGCAGGGAGGGUAGAAAGGACUGCCAAGCAGAGAAAGAAACAUGAAUCAGAACCAGCUAAUACAGGAUGGGAGAGUACAUGUGCCAUUAUCAAACACACAGAGGAGUGAAUAAGAAGCAAAGGAUAUUGCCACGGUUUCUACGGGACUGAACAAAGGGGGACCCACACAGGAAUGAAAACUUAAAACAAAACAGCCACUAAGGAAGGCGCAGAGGGACUUCCUUUCGGCCCGAAACAGUAUCUGUGCUGCCAAAGUUGUUUUCCUUGUGACUCAAAUGAGGAAGAAUAAACUUGGUUUAGGACUAUUCAAUGCCAGUGUUUUCAGAUGGCUCCACCAGCAGAGAACAGAGAAGGGGAGAAGAGGAAAAGCAGCUGGACGUCGGGGACUGCGGUUUGACGUCGGAGAGAAGCAGCUUGACUUCAGAGGGACAGCUUGACCGCUUUGCUUUGGAGAGGAGUCUGGCUGGGGAUGGCUGGACUCCAGGGGAAGAUCGUCUUCCUGUUCCAUCCCUUUUCCAGCUCCCCUCCCACUGAGAGCCACUUUCAUUGGCAAUAAAAUCCUCCAUAUUCACCACC
Molecule: long non-coding RNA, 586 nt
Organism: Homo sapiens (human)
Lineage: Eukaryota; Metazoa; Chordata; Mammalia; Primates; Hominidae
Exons: 5
Source: RefSeq, a predicted model, not a curated record